GGAUGUGAGGGCAAUCUGGCUGUGAUAUCUGCCACCCCACUGAUCACCAGGGUUAACUGGGCUGACCAAGCCGGCUAGGCAGGUGUCCCCUUCCUUCCUCACUGCUCCAAGAAUGACCUUCCCCUCUAGAGGAGGCACAGUCUUGGUCAAGGGUAUCUGAAUAGCUGUGCUUCCAUGAUAGAACCCACAAAUAAGCUCUUUCAAAAGGCUAUAUAUAUUUAAAGAAUUUAAGAAAGCAUGAGGAAAUAUUUUUGAUUAAACAAACAGCAGUAUAUGAAAUUCU
Nannospalax galili (Upper Galilee mountains blind mole rat) is the source of this 283-nucleotide unclassified non-coding RNA. Its record names the gene 7SK. It matches the Rfam family "7SK RNA". From Rfam's summary of the family: 7SK was discovered as an abundant small nuclear RNA in the mid-70s but a possible function has only recently been suggested. Two independent studies have found that 7SK RNA binds the CDK9/cyclin T complex (known as elongation factor P-TEFb). The record is from Ensembl. NCBI's taxonomy places the organism in Eukaryota, Metazoa, Chordata, Mammalia, Rodentia, Spalacidae.